CCUACGGGAGGCAGCAGUAGGGAAUCUUCCACAAUGGGCGAAAGCCUGAUGGAGCAACGCCGCGUGGGUGAAGAAGGUCUUCGGAUCGUAAAACCCUGUUGUUAGAGACGAAAGUGCGUGAGAGUACCUGUUCACGUUUCGACGGUAUCUACCCAGAAAGCCACGGCUAACUACGUGCCAGCAGCCGCGGUAAUACGUCGGUGACAAGCGUUAUCCGGAUUUAUUGGGCGUAAAGGGAACGCAGGCGGUCUUUUAAGUCUGAUGUGAAAGCCUUCGGCUUAACCGGAGGAGUGCAUUGGAAACUGGGGGACUUGAGUGCAGAAGAGGAGAGGGGAACUCCAUGUGUAGCGGUGAAAGGCGUAGAUAUAUGGAAGAACACCAGUGGCGAAAGCGGCUCUCUGGUCUGUAACUGACGCUGAGGUUCGAAAGCGUGGGUAGCAAACAGGAUUAGAUACCCGGGUAGUC
RNAcentral lists this ribosomal RNA (465 nucleotides) under uncultured bacterium. RNAcentral describes it as "partial 16S ribosomal RNA". It matches the Rfam family "Bacterial small subunit ribosomal RNA", at positions 338 to 795 of the family's 1533-position model. The record is from RNAcentral.